Meriones unguiculatus (Mongolian gerbil) is the source of this 366-nucleotide long non-coding RNA. RefSeq lists it as uncharacterized. Lineage: Eukaryota; Metazoa; Chordata; Mammalia; Rodentia; Muridae. The transcript has 4 exons. The record is from RefSeq and is a predicted model, not a curated record.
AGCUGCUGCUGGAGAACUCACUGAAGAUGACUCAGGUCUCCUGGAGCGCAGACUUGCCUCUAACUCCCUAUGCAGCUAAGGAAUGACUUUGGACUUCUGAUACAUCUCGCUGCCACCCAGAUGGCACAUGUGUACUACCGCGCCUGGAUCCAAGCUUUUCUUUACCUGAAAUCCUGAAAUUUGCUCUGUACCAGGCUGGCCUUGAAUUCAGAUCUGCUUGCCUGUCUCCUUGGAUUAAAGAGACCAGCUGGUCAACAAAGGAAGUUUCAGGCCAACCAAUGCCACACAGGAGACCCUGUCUCAAGGAGGUGAGAGGCAAUAAACUGUAUCUUACUUAGUGGCCCUACAUGACUCCAAAAUGCAGCC